Molecule: ribosomal RNA, 468 nt
Filed under: uncultured bacterium
Lineage: Bacteria
Description: partial 16S ribosomal RNA
Rfam family: Bacterial small subunit ribosomal RNA
Source: RNAcentral
GACGAACGCUGGCGGCGUGCUUAACACAUGCAAGUCGAACGGAAAGGCCCUGCUUUUGUGGGGUGCUCGAGUGGCGAACGGGUGAGUAACACGUGAGUAACCUGCCCUUGACUUUGGGAUAACUUCAGGAAACUGGGGCUAAUACCGGAUAGGAGCUCCUGCUGCAUGGUGGGGGUUGGAAAGUUUCGGCGGUUGGGGAUGGACGCGCGGCUUAUCAGCUUGUUGGUGGGGUAGUGGCUUACCAAGGCUUUGACGGGUAGCCGGCCUGAGAGGGUGACCGGCCACAUUGGGACUGAGAUACGGCCCAGACUCCUACGGGAGGCAGCAGUGGGGAAUAUUGCACAAUGGGCGGAAGCCUGAUGAAGAAACGCCGCGUGCGGGAUGACGGCCUUCGGGUUGUAAACCGCUUUCGCCUGUGACGAAGCGUGAGUGACGGUAAUGGGUAAAGAAGCACCGGCUAACUACGUG